Molecule: ribosomal RNA, 503 nt
Filed under: uncultured bacterium
Lineage: Bacteria
Description: partial 16S ribosomal RNA
Rfam family: Bacterial small subunit ribosomal RNA
Source: RNAcentral
AUUGAACGCUGGCGGCAGGCUUAACACAUGCAAGUCGAGCGGGGUGAUGGUGCUUGCACUAUCACUUAGCGGCGGACGGGUGAGUAAUGCUUAGGAAUCUGCCUAUUAGUGGGGGACAACAUCUCGAAAGGGAUGCUAAUACCGCAUACGUCCUACGGGAGAAAGCAGGGGAUCACUUGUGACCUUGUGCUAAUAGAUGAGCCUAAGUCGGAUUAGCUAGUUGGUGGGGUAAAGGCCUACCAAGGCGACGAUCUGUAGCGGGUCUGAGAGGAUGGUCCGCCACACUGUGACUGAUACACGGCCCAGACUCCUACGGGAGGCAGCAGUGUGGAAUAUUGGACAAUGGGGGGAACCCUGAUCCAGCCAUGCCGCGUGUGUGAAGAAGGCCUUAUGGUUGUAAAGCACUUUAAGCGAGGAGGAGGCUUACCUAGUUAAUACCUGGGAUAAGUGGACGUUACUCGCAGAAUAAGCACCGGCUAACUCUGUGCCAGCCGCCGCCGUAA